UUUCUCCCUCCACCAUUCACAUGGUCUAGGUCUUGGCCUCACUCUAGACUCAGGCUUUUUUUCUUUGAUUCCAUUUUCUCUUCUUGUUUUCAAAUCAUUUUUUAUCCACAUCCCUUGACUAUAAUGCUUUCAACUUUACGUAUGGACCUAAAUCUGGUCCCAAUGCCCCUGACCCUAAAUCUAUAUGACCACGAUUUUCAGUGUCUGUCCAGGCUGACUGUAUGUUAAUGUGGCCGGUGUUAGGUAAGGGGGUACUAGCUGUCUAUAGGUCUGGAUGUGAAAGGGGCCUUGGAAAGGAGCACAUGACAAUUCUCAUCUGCUGCUGCUUUUCAGUUAUUUUUCCUUUAUUGGUGAAGUUUAUUUCAGACUCCUAAGUCAAAUGCUUCCAACUAAAUCUUUGAAUGCAUUAUUCUUUUUACAGACAGAUUAUUUUGCAUUGUAUUUAUUAUAAAGAGCCUCAGCAAGCUGCUAGUUAAGAACAUCUAGAGCUUCCCAAGUCAGCGUCACUAUUUCCCAGAUUGUGUCCAUAAGUGCCUAGUAACAGGAAUCCUCUGGUGUCCUUACUUAAAAUGUCCAUUCCCAGGACAAUUAUAAUGAGGGGCAGAAAUCUGUAUUUUUAAUGAACACCCCUAGUGAUUCUUGAGCUCACAAUAGUCUGAGAAGCACUGCCUAAGAUCAUUGCCCAAUCACCCACCAGGGGAUAAUUGAAAAUUUAGCAGUUAUUUGAAGGGUGUUUGUUGUGAAUGGGGGAGAAGACUACUGCUCAUCCCCAGUGCCGUGAUUUGCUCAACCUUGAAGAAUAGGCUGAGAAUUGGUAGGUCAGAGAGGUACUGAAGUAGCCUGAAACUCUUAACAUCUUUUAGGGAAAUAAAGACGUUGCAAAUUAUGUGCUCUUAGAAUCUUAAAGAACAACGUACAAUAGAAUCAAUAAUAAGAAAGUGAGCUAUUUAGGUAAUUGUUAUAAUCAAUUUCUUACUCAUUUUGUGAAUGGUGGCAAAUAAUUUUUCUGAAUGUCUGUAUAUCAAGAUUUCCUUGAUUUCAUAGAGAUUAGGGAGGUUAGGAGAUGAUUGAUUUAUAUUGACUUUGUAAUUUAUUCAUCAGGGCAAUCAAAACACAUCUUUUUGCUAACUAUUCUUUCAGAUAUAGCACAUUUACCCAUUGAUCUCUCUUUUCAUAUAGUAACAUUGCAGAUAGAUUUUUAAAAAGUCAAACUUCAAAACAACAAAUUUACUGUCAUUUUUGUUCCAUUUUUCUGGGCCAUCUUGUUUCAUUUCCCCAUUAUUUCCUGUUUUUCUUUUUACACCAGGUUAACACAGUAUGGGUUUGAUUUCUCUGAAGCCCUGGAAGCAUGCUAAACACUAACUCUCAAAGCUAAUAGGAUGGCAUGUGCUAACAAAUGAAGUAUUGUUUCUGAAUAUAUGUUUGCAAGGAAGUUUAAAUUCAGCUUGCUAAAGAACUGAAUUUAAGAAGUUUAAGAAGAAAGAACUGAGGAGUCUCCCUGGGUAUAUGAUAACCAUUCUCUUUCAGUUUAACUUGACAAGUGAGACUACCCAAUCCCAGAACUACUAUGCCCAAAUGAGGUAUUAUCAGCAGGAAUAUUAAUAAGGCAGUAAAGGUGAAAUAUAAAACUAUGGGAGGAUAUCUAUCAAUCAAUCUAUCCAAUAUCAAAAUUUAUAGAAAUUUACAUUUUUGUGGUUUUAAUGGUUUUAUUUUAGAAUACAAUUCAUUUGAAUGUUGACAUGAAUCCUUUUAUUCUUUAAAUGAAGAAUUAGAUUUUAUAAAAUAUAUUUAAAAUGGAAUUAGGCUCUGCUUUUUUUUUUUUUUUUCAGUCAGUUUUAAAACAUAAGCCUAAUUGCUUACACUCUGGUGUAUAGAAAGGUAAGAAAUACUAGAUGGUAAUUUUAUACAGGGCUAAAUGUUGCCCUGCUUUUUUAGCAGUCUCAUUUGCUUCUUUCUUUUCCUUCCUCUUCUUCCUCCUUCCUUUCCAUUCUCUCAUGUCAUUUUCUCUCCACCCCCCUUUUCUGGUCUCUCUUACUCUGCUUUUUCUUCUUGUUGUAAACAGUAAUAAUAAAAGGAUAAUUUUCAGCAUAAUUCAGUUGAGUUCCAUUUGAAACACAUUUACUGACUACUUCUUAGGCAAGAAACCCUAUGAUAGAGCUGCUCCGACAGACCAUGAUGAAAGAGGCCAUGUUAACCUCAAGGAAUUCAUGGUCCAUGGGGAGAAGCCAGUCUGCUGAUACAACUAACUGAAACAAUGAGGCAGAGUAGCAAUUGUUAUGACAGAGGAGUAAACAACAAGAACGAGUUGUGAAUUCUUUGCACAGAGGACAGGGGUAACAUUUGAGGUGGUCUUUGAAAGUAGAGAUGAGUCCUCUAAAUAAAUGCAGAGAAAUCUUUUUCUCUUUAUCCUUCUCUAAGUAGAAGACAGCAGAUCCUCUAACUUCUUCAGCAUGAAUAGUGAACAGAAUAGCAUUUUCUUGCUUUUUCUAUUUUUUUUAAACCGAGAUUUAGGCUGUUAUUGUUUUCAGAGCAAAUAUACAAUGUUUGCAUAUGUCUUUAUCACAAAAUAUAUAUUCAAAGUUCAUUCUUUCUUCCCUUUUUCUUUCUUUCUCUUUUUUUUUUUUUUCCCCAGAGAAGGGUUCAUGUAUGAAAUAACAGGGAAAAGAAGAAACAGCAUUAGACUUGGACUAGACUUGGAGUUCACAAACUUCAUGUGUGUCUAAGUUUUGAUUCAAACUACCUGGUUGUAUUACUAUGAGAAAAAUCAGCCUCUCUAGACUGAGUUUGAGUUCCCAACUGCAAAAAAAAUGAAAGGAUCAGAUUAGUUGACCUAAGGAUCAUUUUGUGCAUGAAGCAACUUUGUUUUCACUUUCUUGGUAAUACCAAAACAAUGUACAAUGUUUUUAAUUACUAAACAACAAAUUUACAAGUGACUUUUUUUUUUAAUUGCGGCCUUCUGUGGGUUGGGAAUUUCUUACAUUCUGCACCACAUAAACCCAGCAUGGAGAGUUCUUUCUACCUUGAAUUUAUAGCAGCAGCUAGUGAUGUAGGGAGGAGGUCAGAGAAGUUUCCAGGGACUGAAUGCAAGCCAGCCAUCACUGGGGACAGCAUGUGCACAGAGAAGAAUAUGAAAGUCCAAGAAGAUGAAUCCAGAGCCCAUGUCAGCAUUUUGUAAUUACUAAACCAGAAAAGUGGAAAGGUAAAUCCAGUCCCUGUCACUUCAUCAUCUUUGCCAGAAGCAGAAGUCUGCCCACAUUCUUACAUAUAUUUGUGUCGUUUCUGUAUUGUGAACAGCUGCCACCUGUUUUGCUCCUAGGAACACUAGUGUGUAAAUUAGGAAUAUGUUUCCUUUCAAAACAAACAAACAAACAAACAAACAAACAAAACAGAAACCUGGAAAACACUCUUGACAGUGGCUUAAAUAUACAAUGUUUUGUUGUUCUUAUAUAAAAAUCCAUCUGAAGAAAGGAAGCCAGAGAUAAAACAGCGGUUUAGCAGUGUUGUUCUGGAUCGAGGCUCUUUCUUUUACUGCUUUACUAUCUUUAGCAUGUGUUUUUGACCUCUUAGUUGCAAGAUGGCCUUGCUAUACUUCUGCACCUCAUGUUGGCAUUCCAGAAAUGAAGAAGGUAGAAAAGUACAAACCUUUCUCCAUUUAAGACUUUAUAUUUUAAAUUUGGGAAGAGAAGACAUUCACAGUGAAUUCCAUUCACAUUUUCUUGGUAACAAUUUGGUCACAUGGCCAUUUUUCACUGCAACAGAGCCUGGGAAAUCAAGUAUUUUAGCUUCUAUGCCUCUCAAUAGAGGAACACAGGGAAGAAAGGAGUUAUGAGGAUCUUUUAGAUAGACAGUGCAGAGUGUCUGCCAGAACAAAAAUCCUAUUAUGUUCCAAACAUUUAAGGGUACAUGGUAAACCUAAAUAUGACCAGAGGUCUGUGAGGGAGCCAGAUAUAGGCAUUUAUUUCCUUUGUUAGAUAACAUUUUCCAUCUGUGUUUGUCAGUUGGUUUUAUGUAAAUCAUGAAUAGCGUAUAAAAAUAGAGUCAAAAUGGUAAAAUUAAGGUAUAAAAGAUAAGUUCAAAUGGAGAUGAUACCUCAUAUCAUUGUCCUAAUCUGUGAGGUUUACUCCAUUAAUAUUUGUUCAUUAUUUAAUUUAUUUUAGAAGUUCUCAAAAUCAUUAAUUUCAACCUUCAGUUAUUUAUGCUUUUGUGCCUCUUGAGCACACACAAAGGCAGAGAUAAACCUGUGCGUACAUGUGUGCACAUGUGCACGCACACACUCAUGAAUUUUAAUGCUGUUAAGAUGAUGAAACUUAUGGUAAUACAUUUUCUUUCUUUAAAAAAUUCCAGUGUAAUGAUAUACAAGAAGAACUGCAAUUAGACUAGAUAAUUAAACAGAUGUUUUGGCAUGAACCCAAGAUCUCAAGGGAUAGACUCUGAGCAUAAUUAACAAUCUUUAAUGUGUUCUUUAAAGGGCUGGGCGUGGUUAGUUUCAAGGCUUUUGUUUUUCUGUUUGAGAGUUGAAUUGCUUGAGAAAAUACAGGAGUUAGAAAAUGUAGGAAAACAGGAAAAAUUGGCUGGUGGUGGUUGAAGAAGGACUUUGCAGAGAGAAAAUAAAAGUCUAAAUAAGAUUUGUUUUUAUUUAAAAAAUAUGGAAAAUAUCAGAUAUUUGUAAAAAUAGAGAUGAUUGUAUAAUUAAUACUCCUAUGUGUUUUCAUCACCUGAUUAAAUAAUUAUCAAGUCAGAAUUACCUCUUUCUUCUAUAUCCUCUUCUGUUUCCCCAUUUGUAGAUUGUUUAGAAGCAAAUCCCAGUGUAUGAUUUCAUUCACAAAUAUUUUAGAAUGUUUUUCUGAAAACUAAGGGUUCAAGAGUCUUUGAAGAAAAAGUUAGCACAAUACCACUAUUAUACUUAAAAAUUAACAAUAAUUUCCUGAUAUUGUCAAAUAUUCAGAGUUCAAUUUCCUCUUUUUUUUGAGGAGUUUUGAGUUUUUUUGAGUUCAUCUGUUUUAGUAUGAACCAAUUAUGAUAUAUCCAUUGCAAUUAGUUGAUAUGCUUCUUAAGUU
Long non-coding RNA from Felis catus (domestic cat), 5057 nucleotides. RefSeq lists it as uncharacterized. The record is from RefSeq and is a predicted model, not a curated record. The transcript is spliced from 3 exons. Lineage: Eukaryota; Metazoa; Chordata; Mammalia; Carnivora; Felidae.